AGCAUAUCAAUAAGCGGAGGAAAAGAAACUAACAAGGAUUCCCCUAGUAACUGCGAGUGAAGCGGGAAAAGCUCAAAUUUAAAAUCUGGUGGUCUUUGGCCAUCCGAGUUGUAGUCUGGAGAAGUGCUUUCCGCGUUGGACCGUGUACAAGUCUCUUGGAACAGAGCGUCGUAGAGGGUGAGAAUCCCGUCUUUGACACGGACUACCAAUGCUUUGUGAUGCGCUCUCAAAGAGUCGAGUUGUUUGGGAAUGCAGCUCAAAAUGGGUGGUAAAUUCCAUCUAAAGCUAAAUAUUGGCGAGAGACCGAUAGCGAACAAGUACCGUGAGGGAAAGAUGAAAAGCACUUUGGAAAGAGAGUUAAACAGUACGUGAAAUUGCUGAAAGGGAAACGCUUGAAGUCAGUCGCGUUGGCCGGAACUCAGCCUUGCUUUUGCUAGGUGCACUUUCUGGUUGACGGGCCAGCAUCAAUUUUGAUUGUUGGAUAAAGGCUGGGGGAAUGUGGCACCUUCGGGUGUGUUAUAGCCUUCAGUCACAUACAACAGUUGGGAUUGAGGAUCUCAGCACGCCUUUAUGGCCGGGGUUCGCCCACGUUCGUGCUUAGGAUGCUGGCAUAAUGGCUUUAAUCGACCCGUCUUGAAACACGGACCAAGGAGUCUAACAUGCCUGCGAGUGUUUGGGUGGAAAACCCGAGCGCGUAAUGAAAGUGAAAGUUGGGAUCUCUGUCAUGGAGAGCACCGACGCCCGGACCUGACCUUCUGUGACGGCUCCGCGGUAGAGCAUGUAUGUUGGGACCCGAAAGAUGGUGAACUAUGCCUGAAUAGGGUGAAGCCAGAGGAAACUCUGGUGGAGGCUCGUAGCGAUUCUGACGUGCAAAUCGAUCGUCAAAUUUGGGUAUAGGGGCGAAAGACUAAUCGAACCAUCUAGUAGCUGGUUCCUG
This 937-nucleotide ribosomal RNA is filed under the name Amyloporia xantha. RNAcentral's name for it is "LSU rRNA". It matches the Rfam family "Eukaryotic large subunit ribosomal RNA", at positions 37 to 960 of the family's 3401-position model. The record is from RNAcentral. Lineage: Eukaryota; Fungi; Basidiomycota; Agaricomycetes; Polyporales; Adustoporiaceae.